AUACACAUAUAUAUCCACUGUGGGACUAUGAAUAAACUGUAUAUAUAUUUAUGUAUGUAAACUUCACAACUGUAAUAUUUUUUUAAGUUCCUCCUGAAAAAAUCCAAGUCAGUUCCAUCAGGGUAACCAAACUAUAGACUCACUUAUCCCUGCUAGACCUCAUGUCUGCAACUACAUCAUGUUGGGGCAGGGAAACUUAUUUUUCUUAACUGAUUAUAGUAAAAUGUUGCUAGUUAACCUUGUUGAGAUACUGUGUACCUUAGAAUGGUAAUAGUAACUGUAGUAGCUGCUUACGAAUGUACCACACAAAUAUUUUAUGACCUUCCCAAAUUUAAUAUGGUUUAUUUAUUUACAUGAAUAUGUUUAUGGUACAUGAUAUUGGAUAAUGAGUUAGCAUGUGAAAAUAUUUAUCAUGCACACUUGAUAGGAAAUCUAUUAUUGAAUGAUUACUUUUAUUCCAUUUUUCAUCUGGAAGAACACUAAAACAAAUAUAUUCCAUGAUAUUUGUUAAUGGUAAUUGGAAGUCAGGCUCCAGGAAAAGAUUUUCUACCAGAUUUCUCUCAUACAUCAUGAGUGAAGCUACAGCUCCCAUUUUUCUAAAAGAUACAUUGAGCAUAAAUAGAAGGAACUCAUCUCUGGGACAAUAUCAUGAUGCUUGAUUCAGGAUCAAGCAUGUCAACUUAAACUAUGUUUUUUUAGUGAAACACCUGUAGGUAUUAGGUAGAAGUUACAGUCCCAUGUACACUGUGAAGGUUUUUCAAUGUUUCACUAACUCAGGCUGUGCUUAGUUCAAUUCCUUUUUUUUUCACCAGAAAACUCUGAAUGGUUACCAUCAAGCUUGUAUAUAUUUUAUUUUAUUUAUUUAUUUUAUAUUUUUUAUUUUUUUUUGGUCAAAAAGGGUAAUUGUGCAAGUAAAGAGAGAGCAAAAUAAGUAUCAUUACUCGGAUCAUGUGUCACCCUAACUCAUUGUGGAUGGGGCACAUAACGACCUAACUGGUUGUCAGGACGGGCGGUCUAUGACACUAGUGGAACCGACUAAAAAUUGAGGGAUGGGGAAAGUGUUUUCCCCGCCUUCUGGGUAGCGCAGACUAGCCCAAACAAUAUUUUUCCAUAAAUCCGUCAUAAAUUAUGGGUUUAGGCUGAGUUUGGAACCCUGUAGCUCUGGAGCUAGUGCUGUUACAGCCUUAAUUUCAUGACUGUGUGAAUGCUGUGAGCAGAUCCCAAUGUACCAUCAUUAACUUUUAUGCCUAAUCAGUGCUGACAUGUAUGCCAUGACACUCAAACGCAAUGGGUUAAUCAUGAGAAUACAUAGUACAUGCAUGGUGGUUAAUGUUUCUUUUACAGUAGCAGUGGCUUGACAGUUUUAAAA
This 1369-nucleotide long non-coding RNA is filed under the name Penaeus japonicus. RNAcentral's name for it is "uncharacterized LOC122253274". The record is from RNAcentral. Lineage: Eukaryota; Metazoa; Arthropoda; Malacostraca; Decapoda; Penaeidae.